RNAcentral lists this ribosomal RNA (396 nucleotides) under Pinctada margaritifera. RNAcentral's name for it is "partial 16S ribosomal RNA". It matches the Rfam family "Bacterial large subunit ribosomal RNA", at positions 1926 to 2607 of the family's 2925-position model. The record is from RNAcentral. Lineage: Eukaryota; Metazoa; Mollusca; Bivalvia; Pterioida; Pteriidae.
AACGGCCGCGUUAGCGUGAGCGUGCUAAGGUAGCGUAAUAAUUAGCCUUUUAAUUGGAGGCCAGUGAAUGGCAACACGGAAAACCCCUGUAUCACGUAUAUUAAUAAAAUUUUAUUUUUGGGUGAAAAAGCCCAAAUAAUAGAGGAAGACAAAAAGACCACGCGGAGCUUUACUUUGUCAAGCCAAACAAAUCUGCCAGAUAGGUUAUGCUAAUAAGUUUGGUUGGGGCAACCCUGGAACCUAAAGCUUCCAGUAAUCAUAGAACUUCAUCAAAAACAUCUUCGGACUAAAAAGAAGUUACCCCGGGGAUAACAGCGUAAUCCAACUUAAGAGUACGCAUCGAAAGUUGGGUUUGCGACCUCGAUGUUGGCUUAAGGUAAUUCACAUGANNAGCCG